ACUGCUUUUGAAGUUUUGAUGAUGACGAUGAUUACGAUGACGGAGCGUUGAACGUUAAGGCAUAUUAGCUGGGAGCAACCACUUUUGUGCUUCAUGACCAGGACCCCCUGUGUAUAAAUAACGAGGUACGCCUACCUUUCGUGUUUUGUGAGUGUGUUAGUGUGGUUCACAUCGCUGCUAGACAUCCCGUUGGUUGAGUGUUGAAAAGCAUCAACGUUUGCUGUCUAGUUUGGCCCGCAUUUCGACCUGUGCUGUUUGGACCGGCCAGCGUGAGCAGAGCUGCCAGAUGAUUUGAUAGAAAAUCUGUAUCCACGAGGUUAAAAAAUCUGUGUCCCAUACAAGAAAAUCUGUGUCCAUACAAAAAUUGUUGAAAGAAAAUCUGUGUUCCAUACAAAUUGAAUCUGUGUCAGAAUAAAAAUAUCUGUGUAAUACAGAGAAAUCUGUACAUCUGGCAGCCCUGAGCGUGAGAGAUGAUUGUUAGGCAAGCUUUGUUCGUAGUUGACAUUCGUUUACUGUUUAUGACAAGCUUAAAACGUUUCUCAAAAAAAAAAAAAAAAAAAAAAAA
Long non-coding RNA from Aedes aegypti (yellow fever mosquito), 565 nucleotides. RefSeq lists it as uncharacterized. NCBI's taxonomy places the organism in Eukaryota, Metazoa, Arthropoda, Insecta, Diptera, Culicidae. The record is from RefSeq and is a predicted model, not a curated record. The transcript is spliced from 2 exons.